CGGGACGGGUGAGUAACGCGUGGGUAACCUGCCUCAUACAGGGGGAUAACAGUUAGAAAUGGCUGCUAAUACCGCAUAAGCGCACAGGACCGCAUGGUCUGGUGUGAAAAACUCCGGUGGUAUGAGAUGGACCCGCGUCUGAUUAGCUAGUUGGAGGGGUAACGGCCCACCAAGGCAACGAUCAGUAGCCGGCCUGAGAGGGUGAACGGCCACAUUGGGACUGAGACACGGCCCAG
RNAcentral lists this ribosomal RNA (236 nucleotides) under uncultured bacterium. RNAcentral's name for it is "partial 16S ribosomal RNA". It matches the Rfam family "Bacterial small subunit ribosomal RNA", at positions 100 to 334 of the family's 1533-position model. The record is from RNAcentral.